UGAAGUUGGAUUACCAUUCAUCCGCCAGGCAGGUGUGGAGCACAAAAUCAACUUCAUUAAAUCAAAUGCCAUUUUCGCGUUGAGCCAAAUGUUGAACAAUGCAAGUGUUUUCAUGAGCAAAAUUUUAAAAGAUGAUUCAGCAAGCUUGUGCGUACGUGUUUAAUUACCUUAUUAUGGGAUUUUGUUUGUUCUGGGAUUGAUCGAUACUGCAGGAUGAUAACAUAGCACAAUUUGACAUGGCAUUCGUUGAUGCUGACAAAUCUGGCUACAAGCAAUACCAUGAACAGUUGUUGAAACUAGUUAAGGUUGGAGGUAUAAUAGUUUAUGAUAACACCUUAUGGUUUGGAUUUGUUGCUCAAGAAGAAGAUGCAGUACCGGAACAUCUAAGGAAGACAAGAAAGGUCAUACUGGAGAUCAAUCAAUUUCUGGCUUCUGAUCCUCGAGUUGAUCUCUCACAAGUUUCCAUCGGUGAUGGGAUUACGUUAUG
This 487-nucleotide unclassified non-coding RNA is filed under the name Hevea brasiliensis (rubber tree). Lineage: Eukaryota; Viridiplantae; Streptophyta; Magnoliopsida; Malpighiales; Euphorbiaceae. The record is from RNAcentral.